Molecule: long non-coding RNA, 339 nt
Filed under: Lathyrus oleraceus (garden pea)
Lineage: Eukaryota; Viridiplantae; Streptophyta; Magnoliopsida; Fabales; Fabaceae
Description: Pisum sativum (pea) long non-coding RNA (PSAT_LNC007349)
Source: RNAcentral
AACGAAUUACUUUUCAUUUUUUUCUCAAAAAUAGUUUUUCAAAUAGAUUUUAAAAACCAAAAAUCAAAAAUCAAAAGUGAUUUAAACAGACCGUUAGUUUUCUCUUCUUAAUCGAGGGUGUGCCUAGUCUCUAGAAACCAAGUGAAUGUGUCUUGGAUUGGACCCUCGUAUGUUUCAGUAUUUCCGUCUUUUUGACGUAUGGCUAACCAGAACAAUUUCUCCUAAAAUUUUACCAUUGUUGAAGAAUGUGAAAACGAGAUUAGCAUGCCGACCUUCUCUUCUAUUGUGGUCUUCUCGACAUGUAUUUGAUUUUAUGGAAAUGUAAAAGGUCGGUGAGUG